RNAcentral lists this ribosomal RNA (253 nucleotides) under uncultured bacterium. RNAcentral's name for it is "partial 16S ribosomal RNA". It matches the Rfam family "Bacterial small subunit ribosomal RNA", at positions 524 to 776 of the family's 1533-position model. The record is from RNAcentral.
AACGUAGGUGACGAGCGUUAUCCGGAUUUACUGGGCGUAAAGCGCGUGCAGGCGGCUCAGCAAGUCGGGCAUGAAAUCUCCUAGCCUAACUGGGAGACGCUGUCCGAUACUGUUGGGCUUGAGGGCAGUAGAGGGUGGUGGAAUUCCGCAUGUAGUGGUGAAAUGCGUAGAUAUGCGGAGGAACACCAGUGGCGAAAGCGGCCACCUGGACUGCACCUGACGCUGAAGCGCGAAAGCUAGGGGAGCAAACGGG